AUGAAAGGGCGCGCGGUGAAGCUGCGGGAGGCGCACAAGGCGGGCUCGGGCUCCCCGGCCUUCUGCUCCGUCGCCUGGGCCCCCGGGGGGCAGCACGUCGUCACCGCGUCCGCCGCCGACGUCGCCAUCCUGAUCCACGACGCCGCCGCGGUGAGCGCCGGGGGCACCGGGGCCCGGGGCUCCGGUUCAGCGGCGGCCGUCGCCACGAUCCGGCUCCACAAGGACGGCGUGACGGCCGUCGCCCUCGCGCCGGCCUCCGGCGGCUCGCUGGCGUCCGGUUCCAUCGACCACUCCGUCAAGUUCUACUCCUUCCCAGACGGCACGUUCCAGAGCAACGUUGCUCGGUUCACCCUCCCGAUCCGGUCACUGGCGUUCAACAAGAAGGGCGCCCUUUUGGCCGCGGCCGGCGAUGACGACGGCAUCAAGCUGAUUGCUACGGUCGACAACACGAUCUCCAAGGUGCUCAAAGGCCACAAGGGCUCGGUGACCGGGCUGGCUUUUGACCCCAAAAAUGAUUAUCUGGCAUCAAUCGACAGCUUUGGCACGGUCAUCUUUUGGGAUCUUUGUUUGGGCAGCGAGGCACGAAGCUUGACUCGUGUCGCCCCGACAUUCGGUUCCGACCACUCGGUGAAGAAUACCCUGUGUUGGAGUCCCGAUGGGCACACCCUUGCUGUUCCUGGGCUGAGGAAUAAUGUGGUCAUGUAUGACAGGGACACAGCGGAGGAGGUAUUCACACUGAAAGGAGAACACGAGCAGCCAAUAUGCAGCCUUUGCUGGUCCCCGAAUGGGAGGUACCUGGCAACUGCCGGCCUGGAUAGGCAGGUGCUUGUCUGGGAUGUGAAGUCAAGGCAGGACAUUGAGAGGCAGAAGUUUGAUGAAAGCAUAUGUAGCAUGGCAUGGAAACCAGAGGAUAAUGCUAUAGUACUCAUUGAUGUAAUGGGUAAAUUUGGGAUUUGGGAAUCAGUGGUCCCUUCGACUAUGAAGUCGCCCACUGAGGGUGCGCCUGAGCUAAACCCGCCGAGGGUUCCAUUGUUUGAUGACGAAGAUGAAGAAGAAAAGCCAAGCACAUCGGCUGGUUUUGAUGAUGAGAUCGAUGAAAGUCUUGGUGAUUCAGCACCUUUCAACCACAAGCGGUCAAGGAGAAAGGCCACAUUUGAUGACCACGUGAAUGGAGAUAGUGAAGAAGAGGAUAUGAUACACGAGAUGCAGUCAGGAAAGAGAACAAAAGGUAGGCACAAAGAUAACAAAGAAGGUGCUAGGAAGGCAAUGGAUGAUUCAGCAACUUCUGGAAGGUUGGUUACAGCAAGAAUGCAAGCUGCCUUCCAGCCUGGGUCAACGCCAUCUCAUCCUGGCAAGCGAAAUUUCCUUGCUUACAACAUGCUUGGAAGUAUUACUACCAUUGAAAAUGAGGGGCACUCACAUGUAGAGGUUGACUUUCACGACACAGGAAGAGGCCCCAGAGUCCCUUCCAUGACCGACUAUUUUGGUUUCACCAUGGCUGCACUGAAUGAAUCAGGAAGUGUGUUUGCAAAUCCAUGCAAGGGCGACAACAAUAUGAGCACUCUUAUGUACCGCCCCUUCAGCAGCUGGGCUGGUAACAGUGAGUGGUCAAUGAGGUUUGAGGGAGAAGAAGUGAAGUCUGUGGCUCUUGGUGCUGGAUGGGUUGCUGCAGUCACAAGUUUAAAUUUUUUGCGCAUCUUCACCGAAGGGGGCUUGCAGAUGCAUAUCCUUUCAGUUAGUGGUCCAGUGGUUACAGUGACAGGUCAUGGGGAUCAGCUAGCAAUUGUGACACAUGCUUCAGAUUGCCUACCCUCAGGAGAUCAGGUCCUAGAUGUUAAGGUAUUCAACAUAACUGAGGGGGCACAAUCAAUGUCCGGUCGCCUUGUCUUGACUCCAUCCUCUCAACUAUCUUGGUUUGGUUUCAGUGAGAAUGGCCAACUUAGUUCAUAUGACUCCAAGGGAAUACUGAGGGUCUUUUCCGCUCAGUUUGGUGGGAGUUGGCUUCCUGUGUUUAGUUCAACCAAGGCAAGAAAAUCUGAAGAUGAAAGCCACUGGGUGGUGGGUUUAGAUGCUAAUAAUAUAUUCUGCAUUCUAUGCAAAUCCCCUGAAUGUUAUCCUCAGGUGAUGCCCAAGCCUGUUCUAACUAUACUUGAGCUGUCAUUUCCUCUUGCGUCAUCUGACCUUGGAGCCAAUAGUUUGGAAAACGAGUUCAUGACAAGGAAGUUGCAUCUCUCACAGAUCCAAAAGAAAAUAGAAGAAAUCGCCGCUCUGGAUCUGGACACAACUGCAUUUGAAGAUGAAGCAUUCAAUACAGAGGCUGCACUUGACCGGUGCAUCCUGAGACUCAUCUCUACCUGCUGCAAUGGUGAUAAACUAGUCCGAGCCACUGAGCUUGCAAAGUUACUGACGUUGGAGAAAUCAAUGAAGGGAGCAUUAACACUUGUUACACGCUUGAAACUUCCUAUAUUACAAGAGAAGUUCAGUUCAUUACUUGAGGAGAGAAUGUUAAACGAUGCAAGAGCUGCUGGAACAGUAAGUGUUUGCUUGAAUCCGGCCAGUACGAACCACUCACCAGCGCUCCAUACAAUCCAACCUGCUAAAAUUGUGCAAAAUGGAGGUAACUUGGAGGAGGCAUCCACACCGAACCAUUUUGCCCGACGAAGCAGUGCAGCUGGACCUAAGAAGGCAGAAUUAGAACAACCAAAUGAUGACACUGCAAAGGUUUCACCUGCGGUUACCCCUUUAGCCAAGAUACCCAAGAAAAAUGAUAACUCAGAAGGGAAAGCAAAAAGGGAGAGGGAUGGAACAGCUGAACAGAUUUUGAAAGGAGGCAUUGAUCAGGUUGGUGCUAAAAAUAAGGGCAGUGAAGACGGCAACCGAGGAGAGCCUCAGCGGCCACUUAACCCCUUUGCAAAAUCUUCAUCCAACAAAGAACAGUCAUCAUCCCUUUUGGAUUCCAUAAAAAAGAUGAAGGUUGAAAGUGAGAAAGUCGACAAAGCCAACAGCAAGAAGGUGAAAGUAUAA
Molecule: ribosomal RNA, 3024 nt
Filed under: Triticum aestivum (bread wheat)
Lineage: Eukaryota; Viridiplantae; Streptophyta; Magnoliopsida; Poales; Poaceae
Description: partial small subunit ribosomal RNA
Source: RNAcentral